UGACUUAAGUUCUGAUCGCGUGUACAAAUCGCAAAGAAUUUUGUGUGUUCUGAUUAAGUGUUAAUCAAGCAAGAAAAUAAGAUAUUGGCUGAGAACUUAUGUUAAUAUUCUUCUGUUGGUUGCUACUUUAGUUGUUGACCAUAUACUUUUGCUUUUAAUACCACGAGCUUCCUUUAUUAAAGCUUUUGAUUCGUUGGUUAAAUAAAUUAGAACAUUUCU
Molecule: long non-coding RNA, 219 nt
Filed under: Nicotiana benthamiana
Lineage: Eukaryota; Viridiplantae; Streptophyta; Magnoliopsida; Solanales; Solanaceae
Description: long non-coding RNA (NBEN_LNC038702)
Source: RNAcentral